GAGUCAGACCUAGGCUCUCGCAGAGAACUGCAUCGCGCUCCCAGCUCUGCUGCCUCGGUGCGGGGACGGGGCUCUGCAUGAGGACUGGGAAUGUAAGUCCCGGGCCUGGACAGGCGCCCCUGGGAGCUAGCCUGGAGGAGAUUCAGUAGAAGGCUGAGGAGUCGGCUUGGAGGGUCUCGGCAAGGCGGCGCGGAUGGAGAUGAAGCUGCGAAGAAUGCUGAGAAAGAGCGGCCGGGGGCCUUGGAGGGAAGCUAGGGAAACGCUGCGGGGGCAGCCGAGGCCGUCGGCGCCCCGGGAGAAGAGAAAAGCAGCCUGAUUCGGAGGAACGGGUUGCUUGGGGCGGCUCCCAGCUCGAGUUGUGGGCCCCGCCGCGGGUGCCCUUCGGAAACGCGCUGACACCAGGCGAAGCCGCCUCUGCCCGGACGCAGCCCGACACUUGGCCCGCGGGGUUCCCCGGGACGCCUGAGAGUAAUGGGCGCGAGGGGGAAAGCCGAACGGCCUCCCUGUGCCCGGCGCAGGCGGUGCCCCCUAGCUGGGUUCGCCGCGGCGGCGCUGCGAGCCCCCGACACUGAGGACUUUUGGUCCAACAGUCCGACGGGGCCCGGUGCGCCGUUCCCUCCGCCCUCUCCCCGCUCCCCGGCCCGCGCGUCUUGGAGGGUGGGUGAAUUGUCGGAAGCACUCUACGCCUGGCCAACCCAAACCAGGAACCUCCGCACCAAACAGCCCACGUUGCUGCUGCUCUGGGGUUUUAACGGCCAAGGGAGACUGGAGAAGGGGUGUUCUGCCUUCCCAUUCUCUUAGGCCCGUCCACUCCCCAUCCCCACAGUUUGGAAGUGGCCUUUUCUGAGGACUCCAGCGCAAAGCAUGUUUCUCCUUUUGAGCUGCGGAAGCCUUGCUUGUUCCCGCCAUUGGGAGGGCAUUCCAUCAUCUGCAGCUGCCUUCCUCGGUGGGCCUUGUCCCUUAGCGUCCACCUAGGGGACAUUCUAAGCUUCUUGAGACCUGCUUGUCCACCCCAACAUGUCUCAGCAUAUGGCUGUGCCCUAAGGGGUCUUUGAGGGCAUUUUAGGAGGUGAGCGGCGCCCCUACCUGGGCUCCGCGGGGCCGAUUCGGUUUGCCCUUUGCUGGCAUGUCAGUGAAUUAACUGCUGUCCUUGGGAUGACCUGCCCUAUGAUUUGGCCUCUGGAGCAUCCCGGGUGUGUAUUUCAGAACUCCUCCCAUCUUAUCCACCUGCUGAAGGCCUGGCCCCCUGAUAUGGUUUGGCUCUGUUUCCCCACCCAAAUCUCACCUUGAAUUUUAAUAAUCCCCACGUGUCAUGGGCGGGACCAGGUGGAGGUAAUUGAAUCAUGGAGGUGGUUUCCUGAACGCUGCUCUCGUGACAGUGAGUUCACAAGAUUUUUUUUUUUAACGGAGUAUCACUCUGUCACUCAGGCUGGAGUGCAGUGGCGCGAUCUUGGUUCACUGCAACCUCUGCCUCCCGGGUUCAAGAGAUUCUCCUGCCUCAGCCUCCCGAGUAGCUGGGAUUACAGGUGCGCGCCAUCACGCCCGGCUAAUGUGUAUUUUUAGUAGAGAAAGGGUUUCACCAUGUUGGUUAGGCUGGUCUGGAACUCCUGACCUUGUGAUCUGCCUGCCUCGGCCUCCCAAAGUGCUGGGAUUACACGCGUGAGCCACUGUGCCCAGCCGAUCUGAUGCUUUUAUAAAGGGCUUUCCCCGUCCCCCUUCCUCUCUCUCACCACCCUGUGAGAAAGGUGCCUUUCUUCCCCCUUCACGUGAACUGCCUCCAUGAUUGUAAGCUUCCUGAGGCCUCCCCAGCUAUAAGGAACUGUGAGCCAAUUAAACUGCUUUAUAAAUUAA
This 1851-nucleotide long non-coding RNA is filed under the name Homo sapiens (human). RNAcentral's name for it is "PREDICTED lncRNA (TCONS_00266382)". Lineage: Eukaryota; Metazoa; Chordata; Mammalia; Primates; Hominidae. The record is from RNAcentral.